This 1151-nucleotide ribosomal RNA is filed under the name Salmonella enterica subsp. enterica serovar Kentucky. RNAcentral's name for it is "bacterial LSU rRNA". It matches the Rfam family "Bacterial large subunit ribosomal RNA", at positions 646 to 1782 of the family's 2925-position model. Lineage: Bacteria; Pseudomonadati; Pseudomonadota; Gammaproteobacteria; Enterobacterales; Enterobacteriaceae. The record is from RNAcentral.
UUAACCGUAUAGGGGAGCCGGAGGGAAACCGAGUCUUAACUGGGCGUUAAGUUGCAGGGUAUAGACCCGAAACCCGGUGAUCUAGCCAUGGGCAGGUUGAAGGUUGGGUAACACUAACUGGAGGACCGAACCGACUAAUGUUGAAAAAUUAGCGGAUGACUUGUGGCUGGGGGUGAAAGGCCAAUCAAACCGGGAGAUAGCUGGUUCUCCCCGAAAGCUAUUUAGGUAGCGCCUCGUGAACUCAUCUUCGGGGGUAGAGCACUGUUUCGGCUAGGGGGUCAUCCCGACUUACCAACCCGAUGCAAACUGCGAAUACCGAAGAAUGUUAUCACGGGAGACACACGGCGGGUGCUAACGUCCGUCGUGAAGAGGGAAACAACCCAGACCGCCAGCUAAGGUCCCAAAGUCAUGGUUAAGUGGGAAACGAUGUGGGAAGGCCCAGACAGCCAGGAUGUUGGCUUAGAAGCAGCCAUCAUUUAAAGAAAGCGUAAUAGCUCACUGGUCGAGUCGGCCUGCGCGGAAGAUGUAACGGGGCUAAACCAUGCACCGAAGCUGCGGCAGCGACGCUGAUGCGUUGUUGGGUAGGGGAGCGUUCUGUAAGCCUGUGAAGGUGGCCUGUGAGGGUUGCUGGAGGUAUCAGAAGUGCGAAUGCUGACAUAAGUAACGAUAAAGCGGGUGAAAAGCCCGCUCGCCGGAAGACCAAGGGUUCCUGUCCAACGUUAAUCGGGGCAGGGUGAGUCGACCCCUAAGGCGAGGCCGAAAGGCGUAGUCGAUGGGAAACGGGUUAAUAUUCCCGUACUUGGUGUUACUGCGAAGGGGGGACGGAGAAGGCUAUGUUGGCCGGGCGACGGUUGUCCCGGUUUAAGCGUGUAGGCUGGUUUUCCAGGCAAAUCCGGAAAAUCAAGGCUGAGGCGUGAUGACGAGGCACUACGGUGCUGAAGCAACAAAUGCCCUGCUUCCAGGAAAAGCCUCUAAGCAUCAGGUAACAUCAAAUCGUACCCCAAACCGACACAGGUGGUCAGGUAGAGAAUACCAAGGCGCUUGAGAGAACUCGGGUGAAGGAACUAGGCAAAAUGGUGCCGUAACUUCGGGAGAAGGCACGCUGACACGUAGGUGAAGUGAUUUACUCAUGGAGCUGAAGUCAGUCGAAG